GACGUAGGGCGCAAGCGUUGUCCGGAUUUAUUGGGCGUAAAGAGCUCGUAGGCGGCUUGUCGCGUCGACUGUGAAAACCCGCAGCUUAACUGCGGGACUGCAGUCGAUACGGGCAGGCUAGAGUUCGGUAGGGGAGACUGGAAUUCCUGGUGUAGCGGUGAAAUGCGCAGAUAUCAGGAGGAACACCGGUGGCGAAGGCGGGUCUCUGGGCCGAUAUUGACGCUGAGGAGCGAAAGCGUGGGGAGCGAACAGG
This 253-nucleotide ribosomal RNA is filed under the name uncultured bacterium. RNAcentral's name for it is "partial 16S ribosomal RNA". It matches the Rfam family "Bacterial small subunit ribosomal RNA", at positions 524 to 776 of the family's 1533-position model. The record is from RNAcentral.